This 484-nucleotide ribosomal RNA is filed under the name uncultured bacterium. Its description in RNAcentral is "partial 16S ribosomal RNA". It matches the Rfam family "Bacterial small subunit ribosomal RNA", at positions 29 to 507 of the family's 1533-position model. The record is from RNAcentral.
AUUGAACGCUAGCGGCAUGCUUUACACAUGCAAGUCGAACGGCAGCGCGGGCUUCGGCCUGGCGGCGAGUGGCGAACGGGUGAGUAAUGCAUCGGAACGUGCCCAGUAGUGGGGGAUAGCCCGGCGAAAGCCGGAUUAAUACCGCAUACGACCUGAGGGUGAAAGCGUGGGACCGAAAGACCUCGCGCUAUUGGAGCGUCCGAUGUCGGAUUAGCUAGUUGGUGGGGUAAAGGCUUACCAAGGCGACGAUCCGUAGCUGGUCUGAGAGGACGACCAGCCACACUGGGACUGAGACACGGCCCAGACUCCUACGGGAGGCAGCAGUGGGGAAUUUUGGACAAUGGGGGCAACCCUGAUCCAGCCAUGCCGCGUGCGGGAAGAAGGCCUUCGGGUUGUAAACCGCUUUUGUUCGGGAAGAAAUCCUCUGGGCUAAUACCCCGGGGGGAUGACGGUACCGGAAGAAUAAGCACCGGCUAACUACGUG